GACAGAGGGUGCAAACGUUGUUCGGAAUUACUGGGCGUAAAGCGAGUGUAGGCGGUCUUCUAAGUCGGGUGUGAAAGCCCCGGGCUCAACCCGGGAAGUGCACUCGAAACUGGGAGGCUAGAGUAUCGGAGAGGUUGGUGGAAUUCUCGGUGUAGAGGUGAAAUUCGUAGAUAUCGAGAGGAACACCGGUGGCGAAGGCGGCCAACUGGACGAAUACUGACGCUGAGACUCGAAAGCGUGGGGAGCAAACAGG
RNAcentral lists this ribosomal RNA (253 nucleotides) under uncultured bacterium. Its description in RNAcentral is "partial 16S ribosomal RNA". It matches the Rfam family "Bacterial small subunit ribosomal RNA", at positions 524 to 776 of the family's 1533-position model. The record is from RNAcentral.